UCGCGCCCAAAGACAUCGAUGUCUUCUCCCAAAUCUCAUCGGAGGAGCUCUUUAAUCAAGAGGAAAUGGUGGAUCGGAGCUUCCUCCGCCGCGCCCGGGGUCGACCCGGGGAAUAUUGAGGCCGCCAUUGCCAAGAAAGAUGGUGAUGCUGUUGAAGGAGCACUUGACCGGCUGAGCCAAAUUGGUUGGGCCAAAAAUAUGGAGUUCUUAACCAUAUGUGUCACACCAUGUGGUUAGUUCUCCAUUAAGAUGAAGUUCUGGGCAAGUGCUUAGGCAACUCUAUGGGAGCUGACCUCUUUUGGAAUAAAAAAUGCAGAGAACCUGGCAAUAACAAGUAUUUAGCGGGAACAACCGGAUUACUUGGUGUGCUUGCUGGCCAACUUCCUCGGAUAAUACUUAUUCAAGCAUUCUGAAAUAAAUGAAGUGCAACUUCUUUUCCAUUAAUAAAUGUGACAAAAUUUAUGGAAUUUCCAGAACUGGGGUUUCCUUCUGCCCUCCUCAAUUGGGAGUAUUUCCCUCAUGGUUUUGGUUGUAAGGAGCAUUUCUCCUAGGUAUAUUUUAUGGUGCCCAGUUGAUAUGUACUAACCAUCUAAGUGAGAAUAAAUGAAUAUCAGGGAAACAAAUGCAAUAGAUUAGCCAAUGAAUA
Molecule: long non-coding RNA, 646 nt
Organism: Asparagus officinalis (garden asparagus)
Lineage: Eukaryota; Viridiplantae; Streptophyta; Magnoliopsida; Asparagales; Asparagaceae
Exons: 4
Source: RefSeq, a predicted model, not a curated record